AAAAUGCUCAACAAACAGAGCUAGUUUUUCUAUGCCCGUUUUAUAUCUGAUUCGCAUGAUACAUGGAUACAUCGAGAUACAUCUGUGCAGAUCUGUGCUGGAAGAGAAUGAUCAAGGAUGAGGAGAUAAAGUUUCCGCCCCUGAAAGUUACUGCACUGUAAAUUUGUAUACUAGUCGUUAUAAGUGAAUCUCUUUGUCAAUUGUCAUGAGACAGUUACGAUGCAUUAUUCUCGAUGACAAGUUCUGUACAUAUAACAAUUCCGAGAAAUGAUUAUAUAUUUAUGCACGUCUUUUGUACAACUUUUUUUAAUGAUGACUGCAAUUUGAAAGGAAAUCGACGGUGAUCUUCACUGAUUCAUAUCCAUGGCUUUACGUAUGAUGUCAGCAAUUGUGCCAGGCACCCAUAAUGUAAUCGAUGCUAAUCAAACUUAUGAUCAUGCAGCAGAACGUCAUAAACUAUUGGAAGAUUUAUUAGCUGCUGCAAAAAAGUGUCACAUUAGAUUUGGUGGACGUACUGAAUUAGCAACUGAAUUAGAUUUAUCUGUUUCACAUCUCUGUCAUGUAUUCGAAUCAAUUUUUAGUCACGGAUUACGUACAAAUUGCAUUGGGAAAAUUAACUCAGCUUUAAGGCAUGUGUCCGACAUAGUAUCCGGUAGUAAUACAAAAUCAUGCAGCAUAUCAGAUAUGGCAUUUUGGCCGUGCAUAAAAGAGCAAUUAACGUGGCAUGAACAAGAACGUUUUAGUAUAUUGAAGAGAGUUCAUACGGAUUAUGGUCGUGGUAGAGCAUGGCUCAGAGCAGUAUUAAAUGAGCGUUCUCUGGAACGCCAUUUACAUACUAUUAUCGACCCUACUGUAUUGUCUCCAUACUACGAAGAUUGGGCAUUUUUACUUGACCAAGAACGUAGCGCAGUACUGCCAAAUGUGGCUGCAGGUCUUGGUAGCAUUUUGUUUGCAAUUAGUGUAGAUAACGAAGAAUUGGAUAACAAUUUAAGGGAUAAAGAUAUGGAGAAACAAAAGGUUUCACUAUCAGAGCCAAUUAUAUCGUCUGCGGUACCAGGGCCUACUUUAAAACAACAGAAACAAAGAAAAAAAGUACCGACGCAUAUAAUUUCCUUCGAUAACGAAGACGAUACGUCGGAGACUACAGAAACUACCGUUUCCGUUAGCGCACCUCCAACCUGUCUCAAUUCCCCCACAAUAAUAUCAACAAAAAGUUCUACGUCGCUUACUUUAUCAGUGUCGCAAUCUCAAAGAGAAACAAAUGAUAAUGUAGCGGCCGACAAACCGUCUUCCGAGUGGGAGAAACGUGAAUCAUUCGAAGAAGAGAAAGUAUUAACCCCAAUUACAGAUUCAGAGAAUAUGGGUGGACUUGUUCCUGUAUCACCUUUAGAUCAAACGUUAGAUGACAUGUUGAUAGCUUUACCGAACUACUUAGAUGAUUCAUCCGAGGUCGCAGAAGCUGCAGUGGAAGCUACCGAACCACUUGCAGGGUUAGAUGCUCAUCUAGAUGCAGAUAGUCUAGACAUAGAGGCGUUACGAAUAAAACUUUUAGCAACUACCGAAGUACUAGAACAAGCUAAAGAGGACGCCGUGACUAGUAGAUUGCAAAUUGCUCGUUUACAAAGACAACACCAAAAUUAUCUCGAAAGACACGAGUUACAGUUGCAAACAUUAAAUAGGGAAAAUGAGCUAUUAAGACAACAAUUACGUAAGUAUGUAACGGCAGUACAAAUGUUAAGAAGAGAUUCCGAUUCCACUACAGUCUCCGAAGAGGAUCCAUCGUUAGAUUAUCAUAACGAAGCUCAACAGUACGAGGAAAAAUUAAUUCAGGUCGCAGACAUGCACGCGGAAUUAAUGGAAUUUAACGCUAGACUAACUCUUCAAUUGACUAAUAGGGAUAGAUUAGUUAAAUUACUACAAGCUGAAUUAGAGUGCCUUCGUGGCCCCUUGAAUGAAGAUGACCUACCAUCAGAACCUCCAUGUCUCAUUCAUAUAUGGAUUCCAUCUGCAUUUCUUACAGGCCAACCUUCUGAUAUUCACCACGUUUAUCAGAUAUAUGUACGCAUUAGAGAUACCGAAUGGAAUAUAUAUAGACGAUAUGCGCAGUUUCAUGCACUUUAUAGAGAAUUGAAAAAACAUGAUACUAUUGUUACUACUUUCGAAUUUCCACCAAAGAAGACAAUAGGAAAUAAGGAUGCUAAAUUUGUAGAAGAAAGACGACAAAAAUUGCAGCAAUGGUUAAGACGGAUUGUUGGGAGAUUAGCACAAUGUUCACCCGCGUUUGUGUCCAGACCAAGUAGACAGACGCUUAUAUCCUUAAUGCCUUUCUUUGGUGAUAACCCUAAUACUGAGGAUUCGAGGAAAAAUAACUCUACAAGAAACACAUUUUCUUCUUCCCCUCAAUACAUGGGUUUAUAAUUAUUAACGUUUUUAUAGACAAUUUGUACAUACACGAAGCCUUUUUAUUUUAAUGUAUAAAAUACUUAUGUUGCUCUAUAUAUAUAUUGUGUAUAUAUAUAUAUUGUUGACAAUUAAAGAGAUGAGCAUAUGCCUGUAUGUAUACAAACACAAUUAACAUACAUUCACACAUAUGCUGUUUAUAUACGAUAAUAUGUAUAAAAUUAAUAUGUAGUCAAAAUAAUUAAAAGUUAAUCUUUUUUACAAAAGUAUGUAUUAUUUUUUUUUACAAAUGUCUAUAUGUAGUAUUAUUUAAAAGUCUAAUUCAUGCUCAAAGAGAAAUACUAAUCCUAUCUCCAAUCUUUCAAUCAGAUAAAAAAAUAUAUUUCUUAUACACUAUAUAAAUUUGUUAUAUGCCAUAUACUUUAUAAUAAACAUAUUAAAAAAUAUUUUUUUAAUGUAGUUUAUCAAAUAAAAAAUAUGAAUUGAAAUGCAUAUGAGAGGUGAUUGAUUAACGUAUGUACCAACAAAGGUAUAUUAAAAAACUAUAGACAACGCAAAGAAUUAUAAAGAAAAAGUAUCGUACACCGUUCUUAUUGAAUUGUACAAUAUUGACUUGAAUCUCGUUUUCUAAAAAUUUUAUUCAUGUAAGGCGCCUUAACAGUAAUAUAAAAAGGUACACUUUUCCAUUUAUACUUUAUGAUAAAAAUAAAAGUGCAUAUUGUUAUUGGAACAAGUACAUACAGUAUUAUGCUGGUAAAUAAUACAACUAAUCGCAUAUAAGAUUCACAGGUUUAACAAGUUUGCAUAGGAGUCUCACUAUGGAGAGGUAAGGUUAGAGAAUUCUCAAAGAACCAAUUGUCGAAGAACAAAUUUCUCACGUAAAACUCAUUGUUCCUCAAGCGUGACGCUUGUUAAACAAUAAAUAUAUUCAUUUCAACAAGGAAUUUCAAUCGUAAUUCGAAUCGAUAUUUGUACUGAGCGAUACAAGACUGCGUUUUACCUUUCCAUAUUGAGAUAUAAAAGUUUCUUGUAAUAGCAAAGUUUAUCAAGACGUUAAUAUAAUUAUCAUUAAUACAAUGACUACCGAGUUUGUGGAACCGUAAUGCAUUUUUUGUUUGUUACAAAGGAACCAACGGUACAUUAUUGUUAUCAUAGUGUGUUCAACGACAGCGCGAUACGAACAUUUUCUUUUGUUGCCCAAGAAAGCAGCAAAAUAAAUGACAAAUAUCGAUGCAACGAUAUUUGUCGCUUUCGGGGUUGAGGACGCUUACAUUUAAUUCGAUACUGAUGUAUCGAACAAGUAAGAUUGUGUGGUAGUCGAUGUAUUAGUUGUAAUUAUAUACGCUUUAAACGAAUCUAUGGAAUCUAUGUUAUAGCGCGUCGCAAUCAUAGCAUCAUAAUCAUAGUAAGUUUCGUAACGUAACGAUACACGUUUACAUUACUUGUAAAAUUGUUUAUAAAUCAGACACAUUCAUUUUCAAGACAGUAUCAUACAAUCUAAUAUUUUAGAGAGAGAGAGAGAGAGAGAGAGAGAGAAAUAAUCGAAUAAACCGUUAAAUAUGUUAUUUAAUGUUUCGAUAACGAUAUGGAGAAUCGAUACUUAAGAUUCAAUGGAUACUAGAAGAGAUUAAUACGAAUCAUUAACAAAAACGUAAAAAAAGUAACGAAGAUUGUGAAAAAAAAGUAAUUAAAAAAUAUCUCUAAACAUAUGAAUCAUUAAAACUUUGAAUAUCAAAUAUAAAUAAUGAAUAAUAAUGAUGAAAUACUCAAAAAUAAGGCAAUAAUAUUCUUUUACAUACUAAAUCUUAUAUUUUAAUUUGCCUUUAUAUUUUUAAAUUCGAUAAUGCACGAAAAAUACAAUGCGUAAACUUAUCACUUAAAGAGUAUUUUAUUCCGCAGAAAAUAUGAGUUUAUCUAUACAUAUGUAGCGUUUUCAUGAGAAAUCAUCAGAUUGAAGAAAAUGAAUCUGGAUCAUGUGAAAUUAAGAUACUUUACAAUACUGAUACGCGCAGUGCUAAUUAAAAAAAAAAGAAAAAAAAAUAGAAAAAAAAAGAUAUUAAAUGGGUGUGUUCGUGAAAAUGUAUCGAUACCUUGAUUUACGAUUCACAGAAAUGCAUGUGAUUAUCGUUUAAAUGAAUUAUUUAUUAUUGUUCAAAUAAAAAAAAUAUAUAAUUCCAUCGAGUAAGAAUAAUGAUUAAAAAAAAGUAAAAAUGCCUUCAUUUAAAAAAAAGAAAAUACAAUCUCGAUAAUUAUAAAAUUUCGAUCGGAAACAUAACAAAAUUCGAAGAUUUUGAUGUUAAAAAUUUCGAACAAAAAAUAUAUAUAUACAUACAUAUAUAUUUAUAAAAAAAGUUAACGAUUACUAUGAUUUUGAUAAUUGCAUUGUGCCGUUCGGAGAAGGAGUCUAAUCUCAGUUGACUAUGGACAGGCCAGUAUUGUGGUAAUAUUUUUGUUUAUACAUAUUUUAAAAGUUCGCAUUGAUCCACAAGUAUUUUUCGUUCAACGAACUUUUUCGCGAGACGCACGAAAAUUACAGAAUUCGUUGGCCUUAGUCACUACGUUCCGUACAAAGAUUUCAUCGUUAAACGGCUUUAAAUUAUUAUUUACAUUCACUAGCUCUCUUCGCUGACUAAUUUUGAUUUAGCCCUAGGACAGAUUCGAGAUUCGAUAGAUUCUUAUGUAUUAUUUAAUUAAAGUUAUUGAUUUUCG
Molecule: RNA transcript, 5109 nt
Organism: Hylaeus anthracinus
Lineage: Eukaryota; Metazoa; Arthropoda; Insecta; Hymenoptera; Colletidae
Gene name: sorting nexin-29
Exons: 13
Source: RefSeq, a predicted model, not a curated record